UACAGAGGGUGCAAGCGUUGUCCGGAAUCACUGGGCGUAAAGGGCGCGUAGGCGGCCUGGUAAGUCGGGGGUGAAACGCUGCGGCUCAACCGCAGCACUGCCUUCGAGACUGCCUGGCUUGAGCACGGUAGAGGCUGGUGGAAUUCCCGGUGUAGCGGUGGAAUGCGUAGAGAUCGGGAGGAACACCAGUGGCGAAGGCGGCCAUCUGGAUCAACACUGACGCUGAGGCACGAAAGCGUGGGGAGCAAACAGG
RNAcentral lists this ribosomal RNA (253 nucleotides) under uncultured bacterium. RNAcentral's name for it is "partial 16S ribosomal RNA". It matches the Rfam family "Bacterial small subunit ribosomal RNA", at positions 524 to 776 of the family's 1533-position model. The record is from RNAcentral.